CUGCACUAGUUGGGGAGAUAGCGGUGCCCUGUACCUGCAAUCCGCUACAGCAGGGAUGAAUUCCCGCCCCAGGGCGUGCGUUGUCAUGACUGCCCGGUGUGGGCGGCGUUGACGAGACGGUCCUGCGCAACGAAGACCCGUGAACCAUGUCAGGCGAGGAAUCGAGCAGCAUUAAGCGGAGCACUUCGUGUGCCGCAGGGUCGCCGUCUCUGAGCAAGCCGCACCGGUUCCGGUGAGGGCGUUCCGUUCAAAGGCGGGUGUGCAG
RNAcentral lists this signal recognition particle RNA (265 nucleotides) under Oscillospiraceae bacterium. Its description in RNAcentral is "signal recognition particle sRNA large type". It matches the Rfam family "Bacterial large signal recognition particle RNA". Rfam says of the family: The signal recognition particle (SRP) is a universally conserved ribonucleoprotein involved in the co-translational targeting of proteins to membranes. Archaeal SRP consists of a 7S RNA and homologues of the eukaryotic SRP19 and SRP54 proteins. In most bacteria, the SRP consists of a 4.5S RNA and the Ffh protein (a homologue of the eukaryotic SRP54 protein). Lineage: Bacteria; Bacillati; Bacillota; Clostridia; Eubacteriales; Oscillospiraceae. The record is from RNAcentral.